CCAGAACAGUUCAAUUCAAAUAUUCAGAUGUGUGCAAGGCAUUUUGUGGAGGACUGUUUCCUGAUCCUGGGAGAGUAGCCUACAAUGCCGGCUGUUCUGACUCACCGCCUGUAAGUAUAUUUUCAUUUUUAAAGAAUUUGCCACUGAUGAUUCAAAUUCAGUUUUGAGCAGUGUAGAGUAGCGCUUGUUGUUUGUCGUUUCUCCAAUCACAAAUGCAGACAUUGUUUUAUGUUUAAGCAGUGCAGGGCAUUGCAACUUAGUGUGUAAAAAGACAGUAUAAGUCAUUAUAAUCAGUAAUCCAAUGUCCCCAUUGGAUGCAACAAAUGCCUCAUUUAUAAUGGGUUUUAUUGUUUUUAUCUUGUGUCUUGUUGCACCGGGACAUGGCAUCACAGUAUGACAAGGGGUGUAUCAUUUUAUCACACGAUUUUGGCCAAUCACAAUGCACUGGAUAGCUGGCCAAUCAGAGCACACCUCGCUUUUCAGACCGAUGAGCUUUGUAAAAAUCGACCUGUUUCAGAAAGGCGGGGCAUAGAGGAGCAACAAUAAUGUACAGUAUGUGGAAAAUAAUGUUUUUUGAGCCUUAAUCCGCAUAAACACAUUGCAUUACACCAAAUACACAAAAUAUUAUAACUGGUUGUGCCUGUAGGAUAUCAGAUGUUAAUAUAUCCAAAGUUCAUCAGAGGUGUAGAAACUUGAUGGCGUGUCUGAUUAAAACACGGGACAGAUACCAGUCCUUUGCUCUCUUUUAUUUUUAAGUUCAAGAUGAUUAUUCAUAGACAAUUCCCAUAGCAUGGAGAUGGACAGAUGUUAUUAGAUGGACAGGAUGAACUGGAUGGACAACAUGUACAAGAUGGUCUUAAGUCAUUAACGCAUCCUAAGGAAAGGACUCAAAGGACAUGGUUGGGUGUCCAUUCAAACACCCACACCCUCACCAAAGGAAGAGAAACAAAGGAAGGAAGUGAGGUCUAUUUAUAGACCUUGACCAGGAGGUGUAUGGGUAAUAUAGUGCACUUGCAUGGGUAUUGUAGUCUGCUUGGAAUUGUGGGAUAUGUAGUACAUAUAUAUAUAUGGGAAAAAGAAAAGGAAAAAUGAAAGAUAAGGGUUAAAUUCACAACAGUGCCACCCUUUGCAGCAAAAAAUGCAAUCAAGUGUUUGCGAUAACUGGCAAUGAGUCUUUCACAUUGCUAUGGAGGAAUUUUGGCCCAUGCACUCUUCUUUGCAGAAUUGUUUUAAUUCAGCCACAUUGGAGGGUUUUCAAGCACACAUGGACUGUUUAAGGUCAUGCCACAGCAUCUCAAUUGGAUUUAAGUCCGGACUUUGAUUUAAAACCUUAGUUUUGUUUUUACUGAGCCAUUCAGACUGAGCCAUUCAUUGUCCUGCUGCAUAACAUAACUGCGCUUGAGCUUGAGGUCACAAACUGAGGCCAGACAUUCUCCUUCAGGAUUUUCUGACAGAGUGCAGAAUUCAUGCUUCCAUCAAUUAUGGCAAGUCAUCCAGAUCCUGAAGCUGCAAAGCAGCCCCAGACCAUCACACUACCACCACCAUAUUUGACUGUUGG
Molecule: long non-coding RNA, 1558 nt
Organism: Cyprinus carpio carpio
Lineage: Eukaryota; Metazoa; Chordata; Actinopteri; Cypriniformes; Cyprinidae
Source: Ensembl